AAACGACUCUCGGCAACGGAUAUCUCGGCUCUCGCAUCGAUGAAGAACGUAGCGAAAUGCGAUACUUGGUGUGAAUUGCAGAAUCCCGUGAACCAUCGAGUCUUUGAACGCAAGUUGCGCCCGAAGCCACUUGGCUGAGGGCACGUCUGCCUGGGCGUCAC
Molecule: ribosomal RNA, 161 nt
Filed under: Cestrum roseum
Lineage: Eukaryota; Viridiplantae; Streptophyta; Magnoliopsida; Solanales; Solanaceae
Description: 5.8S ribosomal RNA
Rfam family: 5.8S ribosomal RNA
About the family: 5.8S ribosomal RNA (5.8S rRNA) is a component of the large subunit of the eukaryotic ribosome. It is transcribed by RNA polymerase I as part of the 45S precursor that also contains 18S and 28S rRNA.
Source: RNAcentral